GGGCCCGCACAAGCGGUGGAGUAUGUGGUUUAAUUCGAUGCAACGCGAAGAACCUUACCAGGGUUUGACAUCCUGCGAAUCUCUUGGAAACUUGAGAGUGCCUUCGGGAGCGCAGUGACAGGUGGUGCAUGGCUGUCGUCAGCUCGUGUCGUGAGAUGUUGGGUUAAGUCCCGCAACGAGCGCAACCCACGUCUUUAGUUGCCAGCAUUUAGUUGGGCACUCUAGAGAGACCGCCGGUGAUAAACCGGAGGAAGGUGUGGAUGACGUCAAGUCCUCAUGGCCCUUACGGGUUGGGCUACACACGUGCUACAAUGGUAGUGACAAUGGGUUAAUCCCAAAAAAUGCUAUCUC
RNAcentral lists this ribosomal RNA (351 nucleotides) under uncultured bacterium. RNAcentral's name for it is "bacterial SSU rRNA". It matches the Rfam family "Bacterial small subunit ribosomal RNA", at positions 917 to 1289 of the family's 1533-position model. The record is from RNAcentral.